CCUACGGGAGGCAGCAGUGGGGAAUAUUGCGCAAUGGGCGAAAGCCUGACGCAGCGACGCCGCGUGAGGGAUGAAGGUCUUCGGAUCGUAAACCUCUGUCAGCAGGGAAGAACGGUCACUGUGCUAAUCAGCAGUGAAUUGACGGUACCUGCAAAGGAAGCACCGGCUAACUCCGUGCCAGCCGCCGCGGUAAUACGGAGGGUGCGGGCGUUAAUCGGAAUUAUGGGGCGUAAAGGGCUCGUAGGCGGGAUGUCAAGGCAAGGGUGAAAUCCCCGGGCUCAACGUGGGAACUGACUUUGAAACUGGCGAACUUGAGUGUGUGAGAGGAUAGUGGAAUUCCAGGUGUAGGAGUGAAAUCCGUAGAUAUCUGGAGGAACAUCAGUGGCGAAGGCGGCUAUCUGGCACAUAACUGACGCUGAGGCGCGAAAGCGUGGGUAGCAAACAGGAUUAGAUACCCUUGUAGUC
This 465-nucleotide ribosomal RNA is filed under the name uncultured bacterium. RNAcentral describes it as "partial 16S ribosomal RNA". It matches the Rfam family "Bacterial small subunit ribosomal RNA", at positions 338 to 795 of the family's 1533-position model. The record is from RNAcentral.